Molecule: long non-coding RNA, 3201 nt
Filed under: Nicotiana tabacum (common tobacco)
Lineage: Eukaryota; Viridiplantae; Streptophyta; Magnoliopsida; Solanales; Solanaceae
Description: long non-coding RNA (NTAB_LNC004302)
Source: RNAcentral
UGAAAUCCGCCAUUCUUCUUAAGACUAUCAGCGAAAAUACCACCUAAAAAUGCCUAAGACCUAAAAAUCCUGAACAGAAAAAAAAGGAACGGCAACAUCCCACCCGUCACGAUCUUGUUCUUGAAGAUAACAAUGCUAUCAUCUUUUCUGGCAAAAUGCCUCAAGGUGGGGGAUAAAUUAACUCCCUCCAACCUAGCAACCUAACAAUAGACCCUUUAGCAUAAUUGAAGCCUACUGCCGUCUCCCAACUUCCCCAAAAUAAGACCUUCAAGGUCUAGUUUUCCCCAAUUUCAAACACACAAAAACAAAGGGAGGGAUAGAUCUAAGGAGGGGGGCACAAGAGAACAGGGGUAGGAAAACAAACAAAGCUUAUGAAUUUGAGCUCAUCCUCCAGAUUUACCAUGUUAAUUUAAGAGCUUCUCUUUCUUUUGCCAUUUGGGAAAACCAUAUCCAUUUCAUCUUCAAAACCCGGCAAGCCUUACCUUCUCGCGCAAAUCCUCCGUCAAACACCAGGGAAACGUAGCUCCAAACCAGCUGCAUCAUAGUAUAACCACAGUUAUUUUUCGGCGAGUUUUGGUUUAAUUCAAGUUUUCCGGCGAGUCCCGAGUUCGUCGAAGGUCGUAAUCUGAGGUUUUCGGGUAGAUUUGCGGUUCCGUCGAGGCUGUCGCUGUCUAAGGUUUCCAGUGUUAAGCAUUUUCAGAUUCGAAAAUUGCUUUGUUUUGAGGUCCGUUCCUUUUCUUGGUGCUAUAUAAUUUGUUUGAAAUACUUUUUAUGUUCUAUACUUUUUGCGCGACAUAGAUAAAUCAUUAUUUAGUCAUUUUUUGCGUUAAUGUUUAACAUUUUAGUUGCUGACUCUUAUCUAUUCAUUUAUGAUUAAUUUGCUCGUUUAGUUUGAAACAGUGUUGAUAAAUAUUGAGAUUUUGUUAAGUUGCAUUUUUGUUUGGGUUCUGAUUUUAAACUUUAGAGUAGUUGGUCUAGUAGACAAUUGAUCCAUGGCUUUGCUUCGUUAAUUGGUUAGGAAUGACAAUUUUUUAAAUGUUUGAGCUAUCAAAUUAUUUUCUGCCUAGAUAUAACAUUGUUUGGAAUCAAUAAUAUUGCCCGAUUCUUGAAUACUCGUAUGGGCCAAAUGAAUAUUUUUCGUCAGGCCCAAUUAAAUAAGAUAAAACUAGCUCACAUUUUCAUAACUAAUUUAUUACACUUUUCACAACUACUCCAUAAUCAUGCCUCACAAUAAUUUUAAAUUAGUUUAGAACAUAACUCAUGAACAAUCGUAGAUUGCUUUAGGCGCGAUUAAUAAUAAAUCUCAUAACUACGGGUACGGUUCCAAUGACGUAGUUGUGAUAUAUAAUUCUAUAAUUUGGGAGUACAUUCAUGUGACCCGACCACAAUUUAAUCUUGUUAAGUAGAUAAACACGUUGUGGAACAUGGAUACAGUUUCCGUGAGAUGAUUCGCAAUGUGUAAUCAAAUAAUUAGUUGUAUAGCAGUUGGAUUAUUAAAAGCGGUUUAAAAGGAAUAAAAUGCACAUAGGUUCCAAAAUGUUUUAAAAUCAGAUAAAUAGACCAAUAAUAAUAGCUGAACGACCGUGCUAAAACCACGGAACCCGGGAAUUCCUUACCCGGAUUUCUAUGUUCGCGGACUAUAGAACAGAGUCAAUCUUUUCUCGAUUCGGGAUUCUAAACCGGUGACUUAGGACACCAUAAAUCAUCCCAAGUGGUGACUCUGAAUAAAUAAAUAAAUCAUGUUUCGAUUGUCACUUAAAUUGGAAAAAACUCCCUUAUACCCUUUUGGGGGUAGUAAAAAGGAGGUGUGACAGCUUUGGCGACUCUGCUAGGGAUCGAACCCAGAAUCUCUGGUUUCGCAGGGUUCAAGAAUUUGAGCUUAGGAUAAUUGUUAUAAUUGACUUUGUUUAUUAUAUGGUUUUAUUACAUAUUUGGGCCUAAUGGGUUAAAUGCUGCUUUUUACCGCUUUGAUAGUAUUUGAACUGUAUAUAAACUGCUACAAAACCCUUCUCUUCUCAUCUUCAGGGAUAUGCACGCUGGCGUGACUCUUUUUCUCUUAGUGUCAUACCUUAAAUUAGGAGGAGGCUCGGAAAAGUUACAAAGCCGGAUGGCCUUUUGGUUCCCGGUACGUAUCCCCCCCUCAGCUUAAGUUGUCCGCUCGGGUACACAAGUCUAGAACAACAUACCCAGGUUUUGAACUUAGAAUAACUCAGCCUCAUGCCGGAUCCCUAGUAUGAACGUUUGUUUGCAUCACGUGCAACUGACUUUUGGGACUCAACACAGGGGUUGUGUCCGUCUAGGACAAGUGUACCCAAAAAAUAAAAGACCAUCCUAAUGUGCUACAUGUUGCAAUCUUCAAGGGUAAAAGGGUCAUUUGGCGGAUCAAUAAUCAUUGAGGGAAAAUGAAAAAAUAAAAAGAAAAAAGAGAGGGGGAAGUGUGAAAAUAAAGCAAGUAGGGCCCAGUUAUGUUUUCUGUCACAAUGUUUUGUUAAGAAAAAGACAAAAAAAUGAAAAAUUCAAAAAGAUUUUGCACUUUUUAAUCAUUUUACGAAAAUCAAAAAUCGAAAAAAGAGGAAAAAGAAAAUCCGAAAAGCGUUUACAUGUUUCAUCAUUUUUCAAAACAGAAGAUAAAAAAAUAUAUUUUCUCUAAAUUAGUUGUUUUUUUUAAAUUCUCGCUCGUAUCCAAUCUGCCUGAACUACGCGAACCUGAUUCUCGUCUCUCAGGGUGGGAUACGUAGGCAACCCACAUAGGGUCCCGUAUUCCUAGUGAGUUUAGGUUCUUGGCUUCGUGGGGUCUUAGCCAUAUCUUGCAUUUUUAGUCACAUAGGUUAAUUUUAGAAAAAUAGUCGCAAUCAUGUCUUGCAUGUGUCCAACAGGAAUGGUUAUUGUCUCACAUAGUGUUGGUUUCAGUUUUCUCAUACAAGUGUGGAUGUACUUACCGGAGUUUGAGCAUGAUAGAUACCCCAGGACCACUACAUUCAGGAGUUGCCUGAGGAGCCCUUUUAUGUUUUUGAGCCUAUUAUUCAUGUUUUACUUUCUAGUCAUGUACAGUAGUAUUCAGUCAUUUAGUUGAUACUAGAGUCUGUCAUUGUCUAGUUAAGUUUGUCGAGUCUUUUGUUAUUAUUUCCUAUUUUGUAUUUGGAAAAUGUAUUAUAAAUCAAAAAUUCAAAAAAGGGUAUUCUGCAUUUUUAUAUUUCCGUU